UACGGAGGGGGCUAGCGUUGUUCGGAAUUACUGGGCGUAAAGCGCACGUAGGCGGCUUCGCAAGUCAGGGGUGAAAGCCCGGGGCUCAACCCCGGAACUGCCUUUGAGACUGCGUCGCUUGAAUCCGGGAGAGGCGGGUGGAAUGUGAAGUGUAGAGGUGAAAUGCGUAGAUAUGCGGAAGAACACCAGUUGCGAAGGCGGCCCACUGGACCGGUAUUGACGCUGAGGUGCGAAAGCGUGGGGAGCAAACAGG
This 253-nucleotide ribosomal RNA is filed under the name uncultured bacterium. RNAcentral's name for it is "partial 16S ribosomal RNA". It matches the Rfam family "Bacterial small subunit ribosomal RNA", at positions 524 to 776 of the family's 1533-position model. The record is from RNAcentral.